RNAcentral lists this ribosomal RNA (548 nucleotides) under uncultured Glomeraceae. RNAcentral describes it as "SSU rRNA". It matches the Rfam family "Eukaryotic small subunit ribosomal RNA", at positions 548 to 1098 of the family's 1831-position model. Lineage: Eukaryota; Fungi; Glomeromycota; Glomeromycetes; Glomerales; Glomeraceae. The record is from RNAcentral.
UUGGAGGGCAAGUCUGGUGCCAGCAGCCGCGGUAAUUCCAGCUCCAAUAGCGUAUAUUAAAGUUGCUGCGGUUAAAAAGCUCGUAGUUGAAUUUCGGGACCAUCAUGUCGGUCGUGCCUCGGUACGUACUGGUAUUGUUGGUUUCUCCCUUCUGACGAACCAUGAUGUCAUUUAUUUGGUGUUGUGGGGAAUCAGGACUGUUACUUUGAAAAAAUUAGAGUGUUUAAAGCAGGCUCACGCUUGAAUACAUUAGCAUGGAAUAAUGAAAUAGGACGUUUGAUUCUAUUUUGUUGGUUUCUAGGAUCGACGUAAUGAUUAAUAGGGAUAGUUGGGGGCAUUAGUAUUCAAUUGUCAGAGGUGAAAUUCUUGGAUUUAUUGAAGACUAACUACUGCGAAAGCAUUUGCCAAGGAUGUUUUCAUUAAUCAAGAACGAAAGUUAGGGGAUCGAAGACGAUCAGAUACCGUCGUAGUCUUAACCAUAAACUAUGCCGACUAGGGAUCGGAUGAUGUUAAUUUUUUAAUGACUCAUUCGGCGCCUUACGGGAAAC